Molecule: ribosomal RNA, 305 nt
Filed under: uncultured bacterium
Lineage: Bacteria
Description: bacterial SSU rRNA
Rfam family: Bacterial small subunit ribosomal RNA
Source: RNAcentral
UCCUACGGGACGCAGCAGUGAGGAAUAUUGGUCAAUGGACGAGAGUCUGAACCAGCCAAGUAGCGUGAAGGAUGACUGCCCUAUGGGUUGUAAACUUCUUUUAUAUGGGAAUAAAAUGUUCCACGUGUGGGAUUUUGUAUGUACCAUAUGGAUAAGGAUCGGCUAACUCCGUGCCAGCAGCCGCGGUAAUACGGAGGAUCCGAGCGUUAUCCGGAUUUAUUGGGUUUAAAGGGUGCGCAGGCGGAAUGUCAAGUCAGCGGUAAAAUUUCGGGGCUCAACCCCGUCGUGCCGUUGAAACUGGCGUU